AUUGAACGCUGGCGGCAGGCCUAACACAUGCAAGUCGAGCGGAUGAAGGGAGCUUGCUCCUGGAUUCAGCGGCGGACGGGUGAGUAAUGCCUAGGAAUCUGCCUGGCAGCGGGGGAUAACGUCCGGAAACGGGCGCUAAUACCGCAUACGUCCUGAGGGAGAAAGUGGGGGAUCUUCGGACCUCACGCUAUCAGACGAGCCUAGGUCGGAUUAGCUAGUUGGUGGGGUAAAGGCCUACCAAGGCGACGAUCCGUAACUGGUCUGAGAGGAUGAUCAGUCACACUGGAACUGAGACACGGUCCAGACUCCUACGGGAGGCAGCAGUGGGGAAUAUUGGACAAUGGGCGAAAGCCUGAUCCAGCCAUGCCGCGUGUGUGAAGAAGGUCUUCGGAUUGUAAAGCACUUUAAGUUGGGAGGAAGGGCAGUAAGUUAAUACCUUGCUGUUUUGACGUUACCAACAGAAUAAGCACCGGCUAACUUCGUG
RNAcentral lists this ribosomal RNA (484 nucleotides) under uncultured bacterium. RNAcentral's name for it is "partial 16S ribosomal RNA". It matches the Rfam family "Bacterial small subunit ribosomal RNA", at positions 30 to 507 of the family's 1533-position model. The record is from RNAcentral.